This 79-nucleotide transfer RNA is filed under the name gut metagenome. RNAcentral's name for it is "tRNA-Val". It matches the Rfam family "tRNA". From Rfam's summary of the family: Transfer RNA (tRNA) molecules are approximately 80 nucleotides in length. Their secondary structure includes four short double-helical elements and three loops (D, anti-codon, and T loops). The record is from RNAcentral.
GGGCGUUUUAGCUCAGCUGGUUCAGAGCAUCUGCCUUACAAGCAGAGGGUCGGCGGUUCGAAUCCGUCAACGCCCACCG